This 222-nucleotide unclassified non-coding RNA is filed under the name Hevea brasiliensis (rubber tree). Lineage: Eukaryota; Viridiplantae; Streptophyta; Magnoliopsida; Malpighiales; Euphorbiaceae. The record is from RNAcentral.
GUAUUAAAGGGUUGCAAAUGCUUGUAUCUUGGAAUUGACGAUGAUAUGGAAGAUGUUGGCACUACUGUUAUUGUUCGAGAUCUGUUUUACAACCAACCAGUUCGAAGGAAGCAAAUGCACUCCAACCCAAAGAAGGUGUUGCAUGCUCUGAAAGAGUCUCUGCUAAGAAUCGCCCUUGUUCAUCCCAGUGUCUCCUUUAAAAUUGUUGAUAUUGAAAGUGAG